Chrysemys picta bellii (western painted turtle) is the source of this 1552-nucleotide long non-coding RNA. Lineage: Eukaryota; Metazoa; Chordata; Testudines; Emydidae. The record is from Ensembl.
AAUUUUGUGUAAUGCUUUAAAUUAAGUUUCUCACAUAUGCAUUUAAUUGAAAUGUAUUGAGAUGGUUAUUUAUGUUAAUAAAAUAAUUAAAAGCAGUUAUUUAAGACUAACUACAAAAUAGCUGUGUAACUACCUAUAUUAAUAAGACAGUUAGUUAAAGGAUAAUGUCUAUUGCUUUAUAGUGUAAUUGCAAUAAACAGCUGCUGAGUUAGAUUAAGAGCCAAAGUGAAACUAAAGUGUUUUAGCAAUCUCAAAAGCUAUUUGUUUGUAAGUAUACUACAAAGCAAUAGAGAUUAUUCCUGUUAUACAACAGCUAUAGCAUAAACAUUAAAAUAUGAUUUUCCUAAGUGCUUUGAUUCCUUUCUCUCAGAUUUUCCACCUACACCACAAGAGAAGGCAAGGCUAGAAUCAGUGGGGAAUGGCUUGUGCAGAGAAGGACAUGUAUGAGAGAGUGUUUAUAGGGUGAUUUACUGUCCUAAUUUAUAGCCAUGCAUUACUAUUGACUUCAAUGAGAUUAUGUGUGGAUGUAAGUCAGGGCAGAAACUGUGUUAACCAGUUGUAUUUUUAGGGUUUCAUCAUUCAAAAAUCUUGUUUGAUUUUUUUUUGGUUAAAAAAAGCUCUUCCUUGGCUCCAGAUCAAACCUACCAGAUUUUAGGCUAAUGGGACUUUUUUGUGGAAGUGGGCAGGGGAAAGUCAAGCUUAUAAUAGAAACUCAUCAGCAGCCUUGUUUAGGAAGUGGCUGCUGCCAUUACAUAAUUAACAGACAAAGAAGAGACACUUUCUGGUUCCUAAGCUAUGGCAUUUUAUGGCUGUGUGUCAUAGCGAAUACACAGAACUCAGACAUUAGGUUGUGGUAAGUAAGCAAAUGACAAUACUGUGUAUUUAUUUGUAUUGCAGUUGUGAUUUACAGACUCCGAGUUGGCACCCAUUGUGCUAGGCACUGUACAUACAUCCAAUGAAAAAGAUGUUCCAUGUGCCAAUGACCAGAAAGACUGAUUCAAAUAUUCUUUUAAAUCUAGGUCUUGGAUCCUGCAAGUCAAUAGAACUAUCAAGUGAGUCUCCUGACUGUACUGCCAUGUUGUUGUGCACUUCAGGUCCUUUACAUCAGAGAAGGCGAUUGAGAGGAUGCCUUUAUUCCUGUGGCUCCAGGCAGGGACGCUGCUCCAUUCCUCUCCAGGACUUCUUUCAGUCAAGCUGGCUUAUAGGCCUGUGUUCCUUUCUACUGAAAUGUGUUGAGGGCUGGAAGUUUCCCUCCCUUUAUCUCCCUUCCUUCUGAUACCAACCUGGAAAUGCUCCACUGGCUACUGCACACUACCUUUAAACAUGGUGGAGUUGAAAUACCCGAGAUGUACUGUUCCAUUCAUAAAUCCCUGUUGUCUCAUAUUAUUAACUGAAAACGCUGGAAGAAUCCAAACUGACUCUAUUGUUAUGGAGUUCUUACACAUAGUCUUACAAAUUCUUAGUGUGUGAGUGCUGUUCAGUCUCUGAAGAAAUGUUGCAUUGCUAUUUUUGUGAUGUAAUUUCUUUAAGGGGAGCUGUUGCAAACAUUAAG